This 1164-nucleotide long non-coding RNA is filed under the name Marmota monax (woodchuck). Lineage: Eukaryota; Metazoa; Chordata; Mammalia; Rodentia; Sciuridae. The record is from RNAcentral.
GACCUUCCUUUGGCGGCACCUGGGUUGGAACAGUGGCCCCCUGUGCGGGGUGUCUUCUGAGUUGGACUUGUCCUUGGCAGUGCCCCCCACCCCUUGGCCCAGGACUCUAAAUUCUAAACAGAAGCCCCACCCACCUGGUGGAGGUGCUCACUGCCACAGCCCUCCUUUAGAUUUACAGAACCAGAACAUCUGGUGACCUUCAGGGAGCUCAGAGUGGCCCCGCCUCCCGUUCCUGGAUCCUGUCACCCUCCGGCACAAAGCCUGCACAUGGGUGUGAGGUUUAACUUGCAGAAACUAAGACGUUUACCCAGAGAAAGUACAGCCGCUAGACCCAGGAGGUCAAGGUCAAUGUGAUGUUCUGGCUGGGGGGGGAGGAGGAGACGUCUGCUCAGGGUGACCAAGACCCUACCCGGCCCAGGGUCUUCCUGUCCACUGCCCACUGCAUCCCUUCCCUCUCCAUGGAGGCCCUCUGUGUGUUGAGCUCCUCGAUGUGUGUUUUGGGUGACGAUGGCUCCACACAGCUGCUCAGGGGGCCAGCCCUGGGUGAAGCUGGCGUCCCCCGCAGCACGUCUCUUUCCACAGUUGGCUUUUGCGAGACGAGCAGGGGACUCGGAGGGAAAUCAAACCUGCCUACUGAAGUCUUUAAUGCCCUCCAACUCCAGCCCCCCAAUACUAUUCCCCUCCGUGCACCCCAGGCUCCAGCCCACCAGGUGGGCCUCACACAAGAGGGAGUCCCGUGCCCCCCACAGGGUUCCACGGAAGUUUGUUGACUGCUCAAAGACCUUCCACGUGGGACCCUUAGAGCUGCACCUGAGAAACCACACCUUCCUCGGGUGAUCUGCGGGCUGUUCCGGGCACUUCCGGAAUUUGGGGUCCAGAGACAGAAAGUCACCUGCCAAGAUUCAUAGCUCCAAGCAGCCAAGGACUAUCCACCUCCUCCCCCUUCACCAGGGGAGAGCACGCGGGCCCUCUAGCUGGGUGCCCUGGCUGUGCUCCGCUCUUGUGUAUUUCCCUGCUGAUUCUUGUUCCGCCUGCACCCAGCACCCACGCCCUGGCUGGCUGAUCCACCCCACUCACUGCUGGGCUCCUCCGUCUACCAGGACCUCAUCCUCAGGACGGGAGGCCAAUUCCCCCCAGUUAGGUCAGAACAAGGUAGAAACCAGG